This 190-nucleotide non-coding RNA is filed under the name Holdemanella biformis. RNAcentral's name for it is "Eubacterium biforme T-box sequence". It matches the Rfam family "T-box leader". From Rfam's summary of the family: Uncharged tRNA acts as the effector for transcription antitermination of genes in the T-box leader family. T-boxes are found upstream of many aminoacyl-tRNA synthetase genes and some amino acid biosynthetic genes usually in Gram-positive bacteria. The record is from RNAcentral. Lineage: Bacteria; Bacillati; Bacillota; Erysipelotrichia; Erysipelotrichales; Erysipelotrichaceae.
AUUAAUCCUAAGAAAAAGAAGAAGAUAAGGAUAUACUGUAGAGAGAAAAUGGUUGGUGAAAAUUUUCGUAGAAUACUUAUUGGGACACUUUGGAGGAGUUGGACAAAAACCAACCGUUGGUCGCGUUAAGACUUGAGGUGUAUACUUUACGUAUAAAAUAAGGUGGUACCGCGUUUAAAACGUCCUUAUA